AAUACUCCAAGUUUCACAUAUAAAAAAAUGUCAUCAUCAAAUUCAUAGUACACAUUUCUCUCAAUUGAGGGGAUUUUUGUGUGGAGUGGGAAUGGAAGAAGAGAGUGAGAUAGAUAGAGAGAGAGAGAUGAUACUUCUCUUUCAAGCUGAUGCAAAGACCACCAUCUUCUAUACUUCCACACCACGGUCGUCGCCGGUGAUGAGCUCCUAAAUCGAGACAUGGGGAAGACUCGGGUCGAAGCUGUCGCAGAUGGAGGUCUCGUGUUGGGCUUCGGCGGCGUGCAGCUUGGAUUCGCUAUAGCAGUCGAUGAUGAUCGAGCGGAGGAUUAUGGUGACAGCUGACAAUGAAGAAGCAAGCCAUGGCCGCCAGAAUUGCUUGGAUGUUUGAUCCAUUUUGGAGAUUGAUUGAGUAGUCGGUUUAUAAUAAUGUAUAUAUAAUUUUGUUAUUAUA
Long non-coding RNA from Salvia hispanica, 451 nucleotides. RefSeq lists it as uncharacterized. The record is from RefSeq and is a predicted model, not a curated record. NCBI's taxonomy places the organism in Eukaryota, Viridiplantae, Streptophyta, Magnoliopsida, Lamiales, Lamiaceae.